UCGGUAAAAAUAUAAUUUUCCCGUUAUCCAGGCUUAGCUUCGUUCAAGCUGAUCAAGCAUACGUCAACAACAACAAAAGCUGGUUGACUCAUUGUUGCUAUAUUUGCUAGGCUUGUCCUGUCAUCGUUCCACAACGUUGGACGACGAACAGUUGGUGAAUCGUCAUCAGCUUUUCAAGCAAACUCUAGUACGUAUUCAUAUUCUUACCAACAGCCAACAGCUUCAUCAGUUGUUCAGCAGCAAUUUUAAUUAACUUGUAAAAUGUCAAAGAUGACAGGAGGAAUCUCAGAUAAAGAAGAGCCAGCCAAUGC
Molecule: RNA transcript, 311 nt
Organism: Daphnia magna
Lineage: Eukaryota; Metazoa; Arthropoda; Branchiopoda; Diplostraca; Daphniidae
Exons: 3
Source: RefSeq, a predicted model, not a curated record